Molecule: transfer RNA, 89 nt
Filed under: Bacteroidaceae bacterium
Lineage: Bacteria; Pseudomonadati; Bacteroidota; Bacteroidia; Bacteroidales; Bacteroidaceae
Description: tRNA-OTHER
Rfam family: tRNA
About the family: Transfer RNA (tRNA) molecules are approximately 80 nucleotides in length. Their secondary structure includes four short double-helical elements and three loops (D, anti-codon, and T loops). Further hydrogen bonds mediate the characteristic L-shaped molecular structure. tRNAs have two regions of fundamental functional importance: the anti-codon, which is responsible for specific mRNA codon recognition, and the 3' end, to which the tRNAs corresponding amino acid is attached (by aminoacyl-tRNA synthetases). tRNAs cope with the degeneracy of the genetic code in two manners: having more than one tRNA (with a specific anti-codon) for a particular amino acid; and 'wobble' base-pairing, i.e. permitting non-standard base-pairing at the 3rd anti-codon position.
Source: RNAcentral
GAGGCCGUAGUGCAAUGGCAGCACGGCGAGUAGUCACCACAGCAGCAUCACCUACUCUGCAGACAGGGGUUCGAAUCCCCUCGACCUCA